Molecule: long non-coding RNA, 1007 nt
Organism: Hypanus sabinus (Atlantic stingray)
Lineage: Eukaryota; Metazoa; Chordata; Chondrichthyes; Myliobatiformes; Dasyatidae
Exons: 3
Source: RefSeq, a predicted model, not a curated record
CGCCCCACAGAUGAGCCCUGCCUCUCACCCUCCGGUUCUCGGCCUCCUGGUCCAGCGACACCACCUGAUGUUCCCGGUGCUCGGCGGCCAGGCACAGGCCGCAGAUGAAAGUCCGGUCGGUCCGGCAGAAGAGCUCCAGGUCUCAUCGACCUGAAAUGUCAACACUAUCCAUUGAUGCUGCCUGAGUGCUUUCAGUAUUUUUACUUUUGCCUAAUCUUAUAUUCAGCGGAAAAUACCAUGAGAUGCCACAUAAUAUUCAACUGGCUAAGGAAGAGUGAAACCCAUCCUCUCCUGUAUUACAGGAGCCUGAAGACCACUCUGAAAGAUCCAGAAACAGUUUCUUCCCCUCUAAUAUCAUAUUUCUAAAUGUACUGGAGUACUAUUUUGUUAAGCAACACAAAAUGCCAGAGGAACUGAGGCAGGCCACACAGCAUCUAUGGAAAAGAGUUAACAGUUGACAUUUUGGGCUGAAACCCUUCAUCAGGACAGUCUGGAUGAGUUCUGAAGGAGGUCUUGGCCCAAAACGUCAUCUAUCUAUUCAUUUCCAUAGGUGCUGCCUGACCUACUGAGAUCCUCCGGCAUUUGGUGUGUGUUGCUCAGGAUUUCCAGCAUCUACAGAGUUUCUUGUGCUUAUGAUUUACUACUUUGUUAUUCAUUGUUUUUGGACUGAUUAUUUAUUUGUUUUCUAAUUUAUGUUAGUUUUAUGCCUUUGCACUCUACUGCUGCAACAAAACAACAAAUGUCACAUCACUGUAGGUCAGUGAUAAUAAAUUGGAAUCUGAUCUUGAUUACAUAAGAGUGAGUGUGCAUACUCAUGAACUGUCAUAUUCAGCCCCAGCACCUGUUGAAUAUUUUAUUACAUCAUUUACCUUAAAUGUUCCAUGUGCAACAUUACCUGGUAACCAGGCUCUCUGAUAUGACAUCCUCCUCCCAACUUCAUGCCCAUCCACCUCCAAUCACCAGACUCCACCUCUCCCUCCGCACCCGCCCAGCAGAUACCGGAACAG